RNAcentral lists this non-coding RNA (29 nucleotides) under Rattus norvegicus (Norway rat). The record is from RNAcentral. Lineage: Eukaryota; Metazoa; Chordata; Mammalia; Rodentia; Muridae.
UNCAAUGCGCACCUAUGUAAGCACACACA